RNAcentral lists this ribosomal RNA (253 nucleotides) under uncultured bacterium. RNAcentral's name for it is "partial 16S ribosomal RNA". It matches the Rfam family "Bacterial small subunit ribosomal RNA", at positions 524 to 776 of the family's 1533-position model. The record is from RNAcentral.
UACAGAGGUGGCAAGCGUUGUUCGGAAUUACUGGGCGUAAAGGGCGCGUAGGCGGCCUUCUAAGUCAGACGUGAAAUCCCCCGGCUUAACCGGGGAACUGCGUCUGAUACUGGAUGGCUUGAGUUCGGGAGAGGGAUGCGGAAUUCCAGGUGUAGCGGUGAAAUGCGUAGAUAUCUGGAGGAACACCGGUGGCGAAGGCGGCAUCCUGGACCGAUACUGACGCUGAGGAGCGAAAGCCAGGGGAGCAAACGGG